GAAUGGCACCACGAGGGUUAUGCUGUCUCCUUUUUCUAAUCAAUGAAACUAAUCUCCCCGUGAAGAAGCGGGGAUCAUAAUAUAAGACGAGAAGACCCUAUGGAGCUUUAAACUAUAUAGCACCAGCUUAUGUAUUCAAAAAUUUCAGAAUCAUAACAAUAACUCUAGCUCCCAUGACUACUAGUUUUAGAUUGGGGUGAUCGCGGAGUAAAAAUUAACCUCCACAUUGAACGGGGUAUGACCCCCUGAGCAAAAAGCUACAACUUUAAGCACCAAUAAAUUAACAUUAAUUGACCCAAUAUUUUGAUCAACGAACCAAGUUACCCUAGGGAUAACAGCGCAAUCCACUUAAAGAGCCCCUAUCGACAAGUGG
Molecule: ribosomal RNA, 373 nt
Filed under: Dendropsophus ruschii
Lineage: Eukaryota; Metazoa; Chordata; Amphibia; Anura; Hylidae
Description: partial 16S ribosomal RNA
Rfam family: Bacterial large subunit ribosomal RNA
Source: RNAcentral